This 36-nucleotide small RNA is filed under the name Arabidopsis thaliana (thale cress). RNAcentral's name for it is "ATSL071030". Lineage: Eukaryota; Viridiplantae; Streptophyta; Magnoliopsida; Brassicales; Brassicaceae. The record is from RNAcentral.
CUUCAUCUCCUUCUUCUUCUUCUUCUCCUUCUUCUU